Molecule: ribosomal RNA, 277 nt
Filed under: Ichthyophthirius multifiliis
Lineage: Eukaryota; Ciliophora; Oligohymenophorea; Hymenostomatida
Description: large subunit ribosomal RNA
Source: RNAcentral
GUAGUUUAUUAAAUUAGCAUUAAAUGGAUGCCUAUAAUCUAAAUAAUUAAUAUAAUUUAAAUUAUAAUAACUAGGGGUAAUUAUUUUUUUUAUAUCUAAAAAAUUGUAAACCCUAGAAUUUAAUAGAUAUAUAAUGAAGUGAAACAUCAUAGUAAUUAUAUAUUAAAAAAUUCAAUUGAGAUUAAUUAAACGGUGAUUAUUAAUUAAUAGUUAUUUAUUUUUUUAAAUAAAAAUUUUUAAAAAUUUGCAAAUUAAGGUAAUAGCCCUUGUAGUUAUU